UUGGUCCUGGUUCGGGUGAUCUAGCAGGGGACUUAUAUUGUUAUCAACACUCAGCAACUUUGAGAGACUGCACAUACAGUUCAACCUUUGAUAACACUGGUGGCUGCACACACGAUGAUGAUGUGGGUGUCGUAUGUGAUGAAACUAAAUUUGUUAGUGGUGCUGUACGCCUUGUCAGUGGAAACGUACCCUAUGCAGGUAGAGUAGAGAUGUUUACAGGAGAACGCUGGGGGUCUAUAUGCGAUGUAUCCUGGGACAUUGAAGAUGCACAUGUAGUUUGCAGACAAGUAGGAUACAAACGAGCCACCUUUGCAAAGAAAGGGGCUUUCUUUGGCAUGAAUACAUACCGUGUGGUGGCUGUUGGAUACAACUGCCUUGGUACAGAACUAACGCUUGAUGAGUGCCCUAUAGCCCAUGGAACCAUCCUAUCUGACUGCACUCAUCAAAAUGAUAGUGGUGUC
Molecule: long non-coding RNA, 461 nt
Organism: Lytechinus variegatus (green sea urchin)
Lineage: Eukaryota; Metazoa; Echinodermata; Echinoidea; Temnopleuroida; Toxopneustidae
Exons: 3
Source: RefSeq, a predicted model, not a curated record